Regulatory RNA element from Pseudomonas agarici, 146 nucleotides. It matches the Rfam family "radC RNA". The record is from Rfam. Lineage: Bacteria; Pseudomonadati; Pseudomonadota; Gammaproteobacteria; Pseudomonadales; Pseudomonadaceae.
AAUAUAGGGGCGUGACCUGCUGACAUCGUCAGCAACAUGCCCAGGCAGUCAGGAUCCUCAAGACUGCGGCACGCUGUUCGUGUUCGAUCCACCCAAGGCCGCUGAGCUUCCGGUAGCGCGGUCGAUCGACAUCUGUCGAUGGAGGC